RNAcentral lists this long non-coding RNA (235 nucleotides) under Zostera marina. RNAcentral describes it as "long non-coding RNA (ZMAR_LNC002753)". The record is from RNAcentral. Lineage: Eukaryota; Viridiplantae; Streptophyta; Magnoliopsida; Alismatales; Zosteraceae.
CACUGACCGGCCGGAAGCUGCAAUCCGGUCAUCGUCGUUCUCCUUCUCAGCAUCUACAUCCGUGCUAUGCUCCACUUGCUGCUGGAUAUCUCUCAGAAUCUUCUCCUCCUCCAACAUGCCUCUAUCAUCUCCUUUCCCCAUUGGAUGGACCUUGUCCUCAAGGUUGACGGAUGGGAACGCCCUCCUCAGAUGCUCCACCUCUUCCCAAGACGUUUCCGUCUGAUCGCAUCCUGCC